UACGUAGGUGGCAAGCGUUGUCCGGAUUUACUGGGCGUAAAGAGCGCGCAGGCGGUUGUGCAAGUCGCGUGUGAAAGCCCCCGGCUCAACUGGGGAGGGUCACGCGAUACUGCUCAACUCGAAGGCAGGAGAGGGAAGUGGAAUUCCCGGUGUAGUGGUGAAAUUCGUAGAUAUUGGCUGGAACACCGGUGGCGAAAGCGGCUCUCUGGCCCGGUUCUGACGCUGAGGAGCGAAAAGCGUGGGGGAGCAAACAGG
RNAcentral lists this ribosomal RNA (255 nucleotides) under uncultured bacterium. Its description in RNAcentral is "partial 16S ribosomal RNA". It matches the Rfam family "Bacterial small subunit ribosomal RNA", at positions 524 to 776 of the family's 1533-position model. The record is from RNAcentral.